Molecule: ribosomal RNA, 730 nt
Filed under: bacterium SCSIO13280
Lineage: Bacteria
Description: bacterial SSU rRNA
Rfam family: Bacterial small subunit ribosomal RNA
Source: RNAcentral
UAGCUUGCUGGGGGGAUUAGUGGCGAACGGGUGAGUAACACGUGAGUAACCUGCCCUUGACUCUGGGAUAAGCCUGGGAAACUGGGUCUAAUACUGGAUACGACCUUCUGGCGCAUGCCAUGUGGGUGGAAAGCUUUUGUGGUUUUGGAUGGACUCGCGGCCUAUCAGCUUGUUGGUGGGGUAAUGGCCUACCAAGGCGACGACGGGUAGCCGGCCUGAGAGGGUGGACGGCCACACUGGGACUGAGACACGGCCCAGACUCCUACGGGAGGCAGCAGUGGGGAAUAUUGCACAAUGGGCGCAAGCCUGAUGCAGCGACGCCGCGUGAGGGAUGAAGGCCUUCGGGUUGUAAACCUCUUUCAGUAGGGAAGAAGCGAAAGUGACGGUACCUGCAGAAGAAGCGCCGGCUAACUACGUGCCAGCAGCCGCGGUAAUACGUAGGGCGCAAGCGUUAUCCGGAAUUAUUGGGCGUAAAGAGCUCGUAGGCGGUUUGUCGCGUCUGCCGUGAAAGUCCGGGGCUUAACUCCGGAUCUGCGGUGGGUACGGGCAGACUUGAGUGAUGUAGGGGAGACUGGAAUUCCUGGUGUAGCGGUGAAAUGCGCAGAUAUCAGGAGGAACACCGAUGGCGAAGGCAGGUCUCUGGGCAUUAACUGACGCUGAGGAGCGAAAGCAUGGGGAGCGAACAGGAUUAGAUACCCUGGUAGUCCAUGCCGUAAACGUUGGGCACUAG